This 406-nucleotide long non-coding RNA is filed under the name Homo sapiens (human). RNAcentral describes it as "non-protein coding lnc-CDC27-9:4". The record is from RNAcentral. Lineage: Eukaryota; Metazoa; Chordata; Mammalia; Primates; Hominidae.
CGGGAACAAGAUGGCAGCCCUCAUACCUCAAGGGUUCUCUUGUUUAUCGAGGGUUUUGGGCUGGUGGUCUCGGCAGCCAGUUCUGGUGACUCAGUCCGCAGCUAUAGUUCCAGUAAGAACUAAAAAACGUUUCACAUCUCCUAUUUAUCAACCUAAAUUUAAAACAGAAAAGGAGUUUAUGCAACAUGCCCGGAAAGCAGGAUUGGUUAUUCCUCCAGAAAAAUCGGACCGUUCCAUACAUCUGGCCUGUACAGCUGGUAUAUUUGAUGCCUAUGUUCCUCCUGAGGGUGAUGCACGCAUAUCAUCUCUUUCAAAGGAGAGAUGAUAGAGAGAACUGAUAGAGAGAACUGAACGAAUGAAGAAGACUAUGGCAUCACAAGUGUCGUAGGUGUCUGAGACAAUUGGG